ACGGGGACAUCAUCGGCCCAGGUCAUCGUAGAUAUCCUUGGCUUUCGAUCUCCAUCAAAAUCUGGAAUUGGGGGGCGAAUAGGAGAGUGUAGCUAUUGAAUCACUAGGGAGGACUCCUCAAGCAGUAGCUCAUUCACAAAUGGGAAGACUCCCUUUUAAUUCGAGCCACUCAGGGAUCUUCUCGAUUUCUCUUCUUUCCUUUUGCCUGCCUAUGGAGUUUUCGAGCUUCCUCUAUCUGGGUGUACUUUCGAACUCGAGCUAGCAGAUCAGCAUAAUCCCUCAAGAACUUCUUGUUGAGGAAGAAGACAAGACGCUCAUUCCGUAAGCCUCACUUAAGCACCGACAUUGCUA
Molecule: long non-coding RNA, 351 nt
Filed under: Elaeis guineensis (African oil palm)
Lineage: Eukaryota; Viridiplantae; Streptophyta; Magnoliopsida; Arecales; Arecaceae
Description: long non-coding RNA (EGUI_LNC010302)
Source: RNAcentral